CCCUUAGACGUUCUGGGCCGCACGCGCGCUACACUGACGAAGGCAACGAGCUUUCCUUUACCGAAAGGUACGGGUAAUCUUUUGAAACUUCGUCGUGCUGGGGAUAGAUCCUUGCAAUUUUUGAUCUUAAACGAGGAAUUCCUAGUAAGCGCAAGUCAUCAACUUGCGUUGAUUACGUCCCUGCCCUUUGUACACACCGCCCGUCGCUACUACCGAUUGAAUGGUUUAGUGAGGCCUUCGGAUCCGCGACUCGUUUUGUGGAGAAGUUGGACAAACUUAGUCAUUUAGAGGAAGUAAAAGUCGUAACA
Molecule: ribosomal RNA, 308 nt
Filed under: uncultured eukaryote
Lineage: Eukaryota
Description: partial 18S ribosomal RNA
Rfam family: Eukaryotic small subunit ribosomal RNA
Source: RNAcentral